CAGUAGCCGCGGUAAUACGUAGGGGGCGAGCGUUGUCCGAAGUUACUGGGCGUAAAGCGCGCGUAGGCGGCUUCUUAAGUCUGAGGUGAAAGGUUCAACGCUUAACGUGGACGGUGCCUUGGAUACUGGGGAGCUUGAGUAUGGGAGAGGGCAGUGGAAUGGCUGGUGUAGCGGUGAAAUGCGUAGAGAUGUGGAGGAACACCAGUGGCGAAGGCGACUCUCUGGUCUGUAACUGACGCUGGGGAGCGAAAGCGUGGGGAGCGAACAGGAUUAGAGACCCCAGUAGUCCCUGUCUCUUAUA
RNAcentral lists this ribosomal RNA (301 nucleotides) under uncultured bacterium. Its description in RNAcentral is "partial 16S ribosomal RNA". It matches the Rfam family "Bacterial small subunit ribosomal RNA", at positions 509 to 808 of the family's 1533-position model. The record is from RNAcentral.